CGAAUGGGGGCACCCUGUCAGCAAUGCCGCGUGAGUGAAGAAGGCCUUCGGGUUGUAAAGCUCUUUUGUCAGGGAAGAAACACCGGCUCUAACACAGUCCGGGAAUGACGGUACCUGAAGAAUAAGCACCGGCUAACUACGUGCCAGCAGCCGCGGUAAUACGUAGGGUGCAAGCGUUAAUCGGAAUUACUGGGCGUAAAGCGUGCGCAGGCGGUUAUACAAGACAGGCGUGAAAUCCCCGGGCUUAACCUGGGAAUGGCGCCUGUGACUGUAUAGCUAGAGUGUGUCAGAGGGGGGUAGAAUUCCACGUGUAGCAGUGAAAGGCGUAGAUAUGUGGAGGAAUACCAAUGGCGAAGGCAGCCCCCUGGGAUAACACUGACGCUCAUGCACGAAA
This 394-nucleotide ribosomal RNA is filed under the name uncultured bacterium. Its description in RNAcentral is "bacterial SSU rRNA". It matches the Rfam family "Bacterial small subunit ribosomal RNA", at positions 365 to 758 of the family's 1533-position model. The record is from RNAcentral.